CCUGCGGAAGGAUCAUUAUCGAAUGACGCCGCCCGAGCUGUGCGAUCUCGCACGUGAGGGCGUGUUCAUCAUCCUCACACCUGUGCACCUUCGGGUCGUCAUGGCCCGCCUUUUUUCAUACCAACUCGUCUGCGAAUGUACAGUCUGUAUAUGUAUAUUAUACAAAUCACAACUUUCAACAACGGAUCUCUUGGCUCUCGCAUCGAUGAAGAACGCAGCGAAAUGCGAUAAGUAAUGUGAAUUGCAGAAUUCAGUGAAUCAUCGAAUCUUUGAACGCACCUUGCGCUCCUUGGUAUUCCAUGGAGCAUGCCUGUUUGAGUGUCACGUGAACACAUCACCUCCCCUCGGGGAUGCGUGGACUUGGACGUCUGCCGAUGCAAGUCGGCUCGUCUCGAAAUGCAUUAGCCUGCAGAGUGCUUCGCUGGGCCUUUGGCGUGAUAGUCACAUUUCGCCAUGGUCCGCGAUGUUUUCGACUCUGGGCUCAUAAUACUUGGAACCCGUCUGCGGGGACCAUCUUUUUACGCUCUGGCCUCAAAUCAGGUAGGACUACCCGCUGAACUUAAGCAUAUCAAUAAGCGGAGGAAAAGAAACUAACAAGGAUUCCCCUAGUAACGGCGAGUGAAGCGGGAAAAGCUCAAAUUUGAA
This 645-nucleotide unclassified non-coding RNA is filed under the name uncultured Heterochaetella. Its description in RNAcentral is "sequence contains ITS1, 5.8S rRNA gene and ITS2". The stretch from base 171 to 324 matches the Rfam family "5.8S ribosomal RNA". The record is from RNAcentral. Lineage: Eukaryota; Fungi; Basidiomycota; Agaricomycetes; Auriculariales.